ACACGGAGGGUGCGAGCGUUGUUCGGAAUCACUGGGCGUAAAGCGGGUGUAGGCGGUCUAGCAAGUCAGAUGUGAAAGUCCAGGGCUCAACCGUGGAAGUGCAUCUGAAACUGUUAGACUUGAGUACUGGAGAGGGAAGUGGAAUUCCUGGUGUAGGGGUGAAAUCCGUAGAUAUCAGGAGGAACACCGGUGGCGAAGGCGACUUCCUGGACAGAUACUGACGCUCAGACCCAAAAGCGUGGGGAGCAAACAGGAUUAGAAACCCUAGUAGUCC
Molecule: ribosomal RNA, 274 nt
Filed under: uncultured bacterium
Lineage: Bacteria
Description: partial 16S ribosomal RNA
Rfam family: Bacterial small subunit ribosomal RNA
Source: RNAcentral